RNAcentral lists this long non-coding RNA (406 nucleotides) under Mytilus galloprovincialis (Mediterranean mussel). Lineage: Eukaryota; Metazoa; Mollusca; Bivalvia; Mytilida; Mytilidae. The record is from RNAcentral.
GCAUAUUUAUUAGUUCAUCAAUUUUAGAACAUUUGAUGAACACAUGUAUUAAUCCUCAUGUUAAUGUAUUACAACAAACCCAACUUUAACCCAAUAUGGGAAGUAUACACCGAGAACGCAAAUUUAUCAAAUAUGGCUGGUUGCAUUCCCUUGGAAUUGUGUAAUUUAAUCACAUGUCUAUAUCUAUGCAUAUAAGUACCCAGUGGGAUAUAUGCAGAUAUGAUUUAAUUUUAGACUUAAGAGGCAAAACAUGUUACAAAUUCAUUAACCUUAACUGUCAUCUUUUAAACAAUAAUCUAAUUGUAUUAUUAUACUAACUUUUUGACAACAUGUGGCUAAUAAAGAUGCCAAAAUCUUGGCUUGAACACACCCUCAUUAUUGUAAAAGAGACAAACUGCUUGGUGUG